RNAcentral lists this ribosomal RNA (531 nucleotides) under uncultured bacterium. RNAcentral describes it as "bacterial SSU rRNA". It matches the Rfam family "Bacterial small subunit ribosomal RNA", at positions 977 to 1509 of the family's 1533-position model. The record is from RNAcentral.
GGCCUUGACAUACUAAGAACUUUCCAGAGAUGGAUUGGUGCCUUCGGGAACUUAGAUACAGGUGCUGCAUGGCUGUCGUCAGCUCGUGUCGUGAGAUGUUGGGUUAAGUCCGCAACGAGCGCAACCCUUUUCCUAUUUGCCAGCGGGUCAUGCCGGGAACUUUAAGGAUACUGCCAGUGACAAACUGGAGGAAGGCGGGGACGACGUCAAGUCAUCAUGGCCCUUACGGCCAGGGCUACACACGUGCUACAAUGGUCGGUACAAAGGGUUGCUACCUCGCGAGAGGAUGCUAAUCUCAAAAAGCCGAUCGUAGUCCGGAUCGCAGUCUGCAACCCGACUGCGUGAAGUCGGAAUCGCUAGUAAUCGCGGAUCAGAAUGCCGCGGUGAAUACGUUCCCGGGCCUUGUACACACCGCCCGUCACACCAUGGGAGUUUGUUGCACCAGAAGUAGGUAGUCUAACCGCAAGGAGGACGCUUACCACGGUGUGGCCGAUGACUGGGGUGAAGUCGUAACAAGGUAGGCGUAGAUGA